UGGUAGGUUGUCACGUAGAUUCUGAGAUUUUUCUAGUUGGCAUAAACCAAAUACUAAAUCAGCUUGGGUCGGCCAUCAUCAAGGUCGGAUUGGGAUCACCUUUUCUAUGUGUCGGCUUUAUCCAAGGAAAGAAUUUUUCUAUUCAUAACAUAAGCCCCAUAUUCUAAAGUCUGAACUAGAAUUAGGUCGGACGAAGGAAGUAUAUAUAAUAGCCAACAC
RNAcentral lists this long non-coding RNA (219 nucleotides) under Elaeis guineensis (African oil palm). RNAcentral describes it as "long non-coding RNA (EGUI_LNC023449)". Lineage: Eukaryota; Viridiplantae; Streptophyta; Magnoliopsida; Arecales; Arecaceae. The record is from RNAcentral.